Molecule: ribosomal RNA, 253 nt
Filed under: uncultured bacterium
Lineage: Bacteria
Description: partial 16S ribosomal RNA
Rfam family: Bacterial small subunit ribosomal RNA
Source: RNAcentral
UACGGAGGGCGCAAGCGUUGUUCGGAAUCACUGGGCGUAAAGCGCGUGAAGGCGGCUUGGCAAGUCGGGUGUGAAAUCCCGAGGCUCAACCUCGGAACUGCACUCGAAACUGCCUGACUCGAGUCCCGGAGAGGGUGGCGGAAUUCCCGGUGUAGGGGUGAAAUCCGUAGAUAUCGGGAGGAACACCAGUGGCGAAGGCGGCCACCUGGACGGUGACUGACGCUGAGCCGCGAAAGCGUGGGGAGCAAACAGG